GACGAACGCUGGCGGCGUGCUUAACACAUGCAAGUCGAACGGAAAGGCCCUGCUUUUGUGGGGUGCUCGAGUGGCGAACGGGUGAGUAACACGUGAGUAACCUGCCCUUGACUUUGGGAUAACUUCAGGAAACUGGGGCUAAUACCGGAUAGGAGCUCCUGCUGCAUGGUGGGGGUUGGAAAGUUUCGGCGGUUGGGGAUGGACUCGCGGCUUAUCAGCUUGUUGGUGGGGUAGUGGCUUACCAAGGCUUUGACGGGUAGCCGGCCUGAGAGGGUGACCGGCCACAUUGGGACUGAGAUACGGCCCAGACGCCUACGGGAGGCAGCAGUGGGGAAUAUUGCACAAUGGGCGGAAGCCUGAGGCAGCAACGCCGCGUGCGGGAUGACGGCCUUCGGGUUGUAAACCGCUUUCGCCUGUGACGAAGCGCGAGUGACGGUAAUGGGUAAAGAAGCACCGGCUAACUACGUG
This 468-nucleotide ribosomal RNA is filed under the name uncultured bacterium. RNAcentral describes it as "partial 16S ribosomal RNA". It matches the Rfam family "Bacterial small subunit ribosomal RNA", at positions 28 to 507 of the family's 1533-position model. The record is from RNAcentral.